AAUCAAGGCCCUAAACGGAAAGUGUCAGGAUCUUGGGCUCCCAAGUUGUGAUGUUGCCACCAGUAUUAGAACACAGUGGUCUCCAAAAUCUUGCCAAUGAAUCCUCCAAGGUGCGUACCAAGUUCCGGAAUAACUGAAAGAACAUCACAUACACAGGCUGGGUACAGUAGCUCACAUCUGUAAUCCCAGCACUUUGGGAGGCCGAGGUGGGAAGACUGCUUAAGGCCAGGAGUUCAAGACCACCCUGGGCAACAUAGUGAGACCUUGUCUCUACCCUCCUCCCCAACCCCCCCCAAAAAAGCACCACCUGUCAAGGAGAAU
Molecule: long non-coding RNA, 321 nt
Filed under: Homo sapiens (human)
Lineage: Eukaryota; Metazoa; Chordata; Mammalia; Primates; Hominidae
Description: non-protein coding lnc-IAH1-2:2
Source: RNAcentral